Molecule: ribosomal RNA, 406 nt
Filed under: uncultured bacterium
Lineage: Bacteria
Description: partial 16S ribosomal RNA
Rfam family: Bacterial small subunit ribosomal RNA
Source: RNAcentral
AUUGAACGCUGGCGGCACGCCUAACACAUGCAAGUCGAACGAGUGGCGGACGGGUGAGUAAUGUCUGGGAAACUGCCCGAUGGAGGGGGAUAACUACUGGAAACGGUAGCUAAUACCGCAUACCAUCGGAUGUGCCCAGAUGGGAUUAGCUAGUAGGUGGGGUAACGGCUCACCUAGGCGACGAUCCCUAGCUGGUCUGAGAGGAUGACCAGCCACACGGGAACGGAGACAAGGUCCAGAAUCCUACGUGAGGCAGCAGAGGGGAAUAUUGCACAAUGGGCGCAAGACUGAUGCAGCCAUGCCGCGUGUAUGAAGAAGGCCUUCGGGUUGUAAAGUACUUUCAGCGUGGAGGCGUUACCCGCAGAAGAAGCACCGGCUAACUCCGUGCCAGCAGCCGCGGUAAUUC